GCGCGACGUGACCUGAAUCUUCAUCAGCCUGUGAAGGAGCUAGCCGGGGAGAGGGAGAUUGGGCAGGGAAUUGCGUCCGGUUACUACCUCGCCAUCACUCAGCCUAAACCAAAUUUCGAAGAUGCAUUCAGAUAGACAAUUUCCCAACUGAUUCAAAGGUGCCGGAAGAGGAAGGGUUCGCACAACUGCUGGCUGCCACUCUACAACAGCCCCAGGAAGAGGAAAGACAGCAGUAGAACAGUACUGAUGGAGAGGCUCCGUUACUUGUUCUGACACUUUGCAGCUACCAACUCAGAUAUUGGCUUUGCACAUGCCUUAGAAGGACAAGAUGGUGGACAACUACCGACAAUAGCAGCUAACUGGCAGGACAAAGGCAUGGCUGGAUAUCCUCAUCCUGAUGGAAGAAAAGGUUCUAUGAUGGAUGUGCGAUACACUCUGCCAAAUUACUGCCCAGGUGGUGAGGCGAAAAUCAUCCCUAUUUGUCAUUUUGAGACCAGUAUCACUAACAAUAUGCUUCUUUAUUUUUAUUGAAAGUAAGUCAGCACUAUGGUAAACAGAAUGUGAAACGACUGAUAUUGAGAUACAAAUGUGUUGCAGAGCUGGACAUGAUUAAAGGUGAAAGUCAGUAGCCUCUGUUGUAACUCUUUUCUCUGUUGACCACCUACUUUGACCAACAUUUGAUUCUUUGUUGCCAAAUUACACAUAAAGUAACUCAUAA
Carcharodon carcharias (great white shark) is the source of this 718-nucleotide long non-coding RNA. RefSeq lists it as uncharacterized. The transcript has 4 exons. NCBI's taxonomy places the organism in Eukaryota, Metazoa, Chordata, Chondrichthyes, Lamniformes, Lamnidae. The record is from RefSeq and is a predicted model, not a curated record.